This is a long non-coding RNA of Rhododendron vialii, 1681 nucleotides long. RefSeq lists it as uncharacterized. The record is from RefSeq and is a predicted model, not a curated record. Lineage: Eukaryota; Viridiplantae; Streptophyta; Magnoliopsida; Ericales; Ericaceae. The transcript is spliced from 2 exons.
GUGGUAGUCCAUUGUUGUCGCCCAUGUGAUUGGAAAAUUUGUGGAAAUGUUUGAGUUUUAUGUUGUGUUAUAUAUUUCCUCCGGGAACUUUACUGGAAGAUUGCAAGAAGGCGGCUCCAACAGUACCAUAAAUUGUAACCUACCGGAAAAUCAAGAUUAAGAGCAUUCUCAUAAAGAUUGAAAAACUAUGAUAACAAAUUUUUUUCUAUAGCCAUAGUUUAGCAGCUUUUGGGCCGCAAAUUUCCAACCUUGAUAUUUGAUUGUGCUAGACACUUUGUGAAUGGUAGUUGGGGUUUUCUUAUUCGUUGAUUACAAGGCAAUUCAAUGUUGGUAAGACUUAGGGGUCCUCUUAUUAACCUUUUCAUUACACGCCUGCUUUUUUGCAAAGUUGACCCUCUUCUUACAUCAUUCUUAACUGUAGAGUUACACUGUUCUUGUUGUGAAACAAUAAUUGAGAUUACCAAUCUGGGCCUUGGCAGAGGGCGUGCCUGGUUGUGGCUCUUGGGCAAGGAUAUAUUUUGGAUGUUUUAUGGCCUAUUAUGCGCCAUGGGAUACUAGAUGAUGCUGUCCUUCCAAUUAAGCUAAUGAUAAUGAACUGCAGAACUUGUGAUUAAAUCAAUGGGAAAUUUUACAAGAGUGCUGUUUAGUCAGUACUGCUAGGCAGAUCAAAGGCCCAGCGAUUGAGGUUGUGGAGAAAAGACAGCAUAAACAUGAAUGGGCUGCAGCAUAAGAAAGAAUUGAAAAGAAAGGAGGACGUGACAAGCUGAUGAAUGCACUGGAUGAAAGUUGCUAGUUCGUUGUUCAAGAGUUGUAACACUAGAACUUAAGGUGGUAACUAGAAGAAAGGAAGUCCACAAAGAAAGAGGGCUUGGUUGGUGAACAAAAUCAUGACUACUUAUGGCAUAUUGGAUGAUAUACUCUUUGGCAUCUGUAGUUUAGCGAGUCAGCAACUAAAAUAAGCUAGGAUUAUUUGGUUGGGAUGGCACUUGGGCAGGGUUGCAAGUAUAUAUUCCAGUCCAUAUGGUUGCCGCAAAUAUCCAUCCUGACCCUUUCUAAUGCCAUAGUUUGGUUAGCGAUUCUUGACUUUAGUUUGGUUUGCGAUUCUUGUCAUCUUUCCAUGGUAAAAGCUUUAUCAGAUAAAUUCUUUUUGUCCCUUCAUGAGCUUGUCAAUUAGAGAUUUGAUUGGUGUUUAAUGAGGCGUUCAAGGGAAGAAACACACGAAAAGGGUAUCUUGUGAGUUAAAUGAUGUCUGAGUGGGCCGCAUACUGGUGGAUCCUUUUCUUUUUCUUUGAUGCUUGUUUUAAUCCUUGAAAACAGAAAAAAGGAAAACUGAAAAGGGCCACUUGGGUCACUUUAUGGAAGCCGGGGAUAGAAUCUUGGACAGGUUUCUGGCGGUCAUUUGCCAAUAAGGGCAAACUGCUGGAAUCUUUGAAGUCAGUUUGAUAUUUUGUCGUCAGUGUAGGAGUCAUCUUAUUCCCGUUAUGAAUUCCAAUGUUUAUCAAUAUUAAAAGGUGGUUGCUUUCGCGUAUGAGUUUUGGAAUAAUAGCUUGAUAUGUGUACAAAAAAAUGGGAUGGAGUUAUCUAUAAAGAAAAUUAGGAUUAGACUUGACAGUUGACACCUUGUAAUUUUUCCGAUUAACUUUAAGUGUGCUGUAGUGGAGUUAUCUUUAGAAAUAGAAAA